RNAcentral lists this long non-coding RNA (211 nucleotides) under Octopus vulgaris (common octopus). The record is from RNAcentral. Lineage: Eukaryota; Metazoa; Mollusca; Cephalopoda; Octopoda; Octopodidae.
CGUUACCCAUACGGUGGCUGCUGCUGCUGCCGCUGCUGCUGUUGCUGCAAAUACUAUUGCUUCUGCAGCUGCUGUUGAUGUUGCUGCUGUUCUCGCUGUGCCUGCUGCUACUGCUGCUGCUGCUGCUAAUAGUAUUACGGAACGUAAAGGCAUGGAUUACACAGAUUCCCACUUUUAUUCCGUCUGAAGAUUUCAGGAUUCUGAUUUAUGU